CCCCACUCCCCAUCUCCUCGUGCUAACCCACCCACCACCUCCCUCCUGCGACUCUCUGACUCCCCCACCAUCCCACCAUGCCACCACCCCCUUCCCCAACCACCGCACCACCUCUCACCUGCGCCCUGCCCGGCCGGCGGCCUUCCUCACCUCGUCGGCGAGCAACCCCUCCCCUGGACACCUCCAACACGAGCUGGCGCCGGAUCCAGGCCGUGCUCACUUCGUCCCCCAUCAUUGGCGAAACCGUGCACUCCCCCAUUCCUCCUCUCUGAACGCACGUCCGUCUCCCUGGAGCAGUCCACACAGCAAAUGCGUGUGGCCGUCAUCGACUCGCCAUGCAGUGCACUUAUGUACUAUGAGGCGAGCUUCGUCGGGAUUAUGACAAAUUUUAUAGUUUGCUUCAAUUCCAGUCACCUCGAUGGAUCACCGUGUAGUUUAGUCGAUGCUCUCGUGCAGUGCAGAGCGCAUCUGCUUGCAGUCCCACUGGACAUGCAUGUCGUCUGCCUCUCACCCCGCACAUGCGUGUAGUACAUUUUUUUCAUGGAAAAGUUGGGCGACGCACACAACAUGGAAGUGUGAAAACUUAGCGAAACAAAAAGAUAGUAAUGUGGUUCACUUCAAUA
This is a long non-coding RNA of Triticum aestivum (bread wheat), 623 nucleotides long. RefSeq lists it as uncharacterized. Lineage: Eukaryota; Viridiplantae; Streptophyta; Magnoliopsida; Poales; Poaceae. The record is from RefSeq and is a predicted model, not a curated record. The transcript has 2 exons.